This 1508-nucleotide long non-coding RNA is filed under the name Homo sapiens (human). RNAcentral's name for it is "HSALNT0008152". The record is from RNAcentral. Lineage: Eukaryota; Metazoa; Chordata; Mammalia; Primates; Hominidae.
CCCGUCGUCGCCCUCGCCCACCACAUCGAUGUCCACGUCCUCGGCCGUCAGCACCGUCUGGCCGGACAUGUCGCUGGCGCUGCCGCCGCCGGAGAGGGUCAUCCCUCCUCGGGAUCCAGCGGGAGGCGGGGCCACGUGACCGUGCGUGACGUCAGGGCCGCGGCCGAGCCGGCCAAACUCAAGUUGGUUCAGGGAAUUGUCAACAAAGGGACGAGAGACGCGCAACUCCGCUCCGCACUGUGCGCCAGCAUCCCCGGGGCACGGAGGGCGCUGCGGCCCGCCCGGAGACCCCCCCACCCAGGCUGGAUCCGGGCCCUGGGGCCCAGGGAGCGGGUGGGUGUGAGUGUGGGUGGGUGUGAGCGAGUCAGGGCGUGGGCCUGGGAGCGUCCGCGGGACUGUGCGACUGUCGCUGCCCUGCCUUCCCCGCCCCCUCUCCCUUCCGCCCUUCUCCCCCCCACUUUGUCACACUCCUUAGACAGGGACUGGGCGACCUAGAACGAGGUUCCCAUAUCGUGUUUUAAAAAGCAAAACUUAGUCUCUGUUUUGCUUUUUGUUUCAUUGUUUUUAGCUUUAAAGAGUAAGAGCAGCGCACCCGGCUCCCUCCUGCUAAUUAGAUUUCAGAUUCCCCUCUGGCCUCAGUGCUCAUUCCGGGGAAGACACCUGCUGAGAUGUCUUUUUCCCCCUCCCCCAACCAAACCACUCAGGUCCUACCUGCUCUUUCCCGGCUUGAUGCGGGCGUGUUUUCCUGUAUGUAUUUUUUCGUGCGGCCACAAAAAGCAUCAGCUGGGGUUCCCGAAGGUCAGAAAAUGGCUAUUGAUUAAUCUACUAGAAUAGUUGCCGAGAGAAAUAAAAACGACGUAAAAUAGCAGGGAACCUAUAAAUAAAGAAGCCAUAACUGGCUACUUGGAGUUGUUAAACGACUUAGCAUAUGAAAAAAUCGGAAAUGAGGCGCUGGGGAAGGAGCUGGGAUUGGCAGCGGCCUGGGUGUGGACAAAUCCUCCAAGAUUUAACUUCCAAGAAAACCGGCGGCGGAGCGGGUGGAGGAGGCGAGGAUGUGUGGCCAAUGCACGCGGAGUGCAAGGCCGCCUAGUUGGGAGCCGCAAGAGCCUGCCUGGUGUGGCAGGCACACGGAACCCAAUCCCUGUCUGUCCGCUGCGGCCUGGGAGGGGAGCGCCGGCCUCACCAGAGGAAGGAGCACGAGGGGAGGAGUUCCGAGAGGAAAUAAUUAGUGAAAUAUUUGCAGAAGAUGCUGGGAUGUGGAUUUAAUUCCGGAUGGACAGUGGUGCUUCUGAUUCCCUCAGUCUGUUUCCCCACCCACGAUCUCCUCUUUCCUUGGCCUAGACACACCAAAAAUAAUUCAAUAAAAUAAAAAUAAAAAUUUAAAAAUCUGUAAACUUGCUUCAUUACAGGCAUUGAGACACACAGAUUGACUUUCAUCCCCAUUAGACAGUUUCCCAGGAUAUAACACUACUCAUCUGAGGCUGGGAGCAGGGUAGGGGGUGGUGACA